UCCCUAGUGGCUCAGCUGGUAAAGAAUCCGCCUGCAAUGCGGGAGACCUGGGUUCGAUCCCUGGGUUGGGAA
Molecule: transfer RNA, 72 nt
Filed under: Bos taurus (domestic cattle)
Lineage: Eukaryota; Metazoa; Chordata; Mammalia; Artiodactyla; Bovidae
Also listed under: 3 other names
Rfam family: tRNA
About the family: Transfer RNA (tRNA) molecules are approximately 80 nucleotides in length. Their secondary structure includes four short double-helical elements and three loops (D, anti-codon, and T loops).
Source: Rfam by way of RNAcentral